AUCUAAAUUUUAGUACAUCCACACCUGCCUCCUCCUCCUCCUCCUUUUUCUGUUGCCAGCCAUGAUGAAAAAUUAAGUAUACGAGUUACAUGUUUUAUUUGUUAAUGAAUUUAUUUGUAUUUAGAGUAAGAUAAAGCAGAUCUUGAGGAUAAGAAAGAGGAAGUGGAGUUACAGAAGUAUAGGAACUUGAGGAAUAAGAGGAUAAUGUAAAGAAGAGAAAGAGAUUUGUUUGUGAAUUCAUUUGUUUUUACUAUAAGAUAAAGUAGAUCGAGGGAAAGGAAUUAAGAGGAAGUGGAGUUAGAGAAGAAGGAAAGGGAGGAAUAAUUUAAUUUCUCUCCUGUUUAUUCCUUUUUUUCUUCCUUUUAUCUUAUUGCAGUGUAGUUUGGUGUAUAUUUUUUCUUUGGGGAUUGGUUGACUCUACUGUCUUCCUGUUUUUUUUCUUCCUUUCUUCUUUCUUCCUUUGCUUUCUCUCCCCUUUCUUCCUUCGCUUUAAAUUUCUUCCUUUCUUCUCUAUGCAAUGUUCGGCUUAAUGGAGGAUGAUUCUAUAUGGGGAUUCGUCUCAUCUCCCUUUAAUUGCUUUCCUGUUCUUUUCUUUCUUUCCUCUUUCUUCCUUUUGGACGCCUUAGAAAGAUAAUUUGGGCCGUCAGUCGAUCCAUUAGCUACAGCGGUCCAGAGGUGUUUCAGAAGCGCUUCGAAACUCUCCUCUUGACGCUCGAUCUUGAACUCUCCUGAGCGUGUUGGUAUUAAAAAAAAAGAUCGUUGUAGAGAUUAGGUUAUUUCUUUAUUUCUUUUCAGACCCAAAAAAAUAAUAAUCAAUUGUAUACAUAUGCAUUCGCUAUAUUAUGUUGAUUCGUGCAUCUCUCUCUCUCUCUCUCUCUCUCUCUCUCUCUCUCUCUCUCUCUCUCUCUCUCGAGUUGACCUCCCCCAACCAAAAAUCCUUAAGGAUAGGCGGGGAGGGAGAGAGAAAGGGGGAGAGGAAGGAGAAAGACAGGGGAGAGUGGGGAAGGGGGAGGAAAGGAAGAGGAUAGGAGAGGGAGUAAAAGGAAGGAAUAGGAGAUCGUAGGACUUUUAAGUAAGGAUAUAGGAAAGAAAAAAGAUGAUAGGAGAAUGGGGGGUGAAGAGAGAGAGAGAGGGUGUAGGAACAGAGAUUAGCGGGCUUUUUUUUUUUAAACAUUUUUUUUUUGGUGUUGCCCUUGAGCUAUUUCUUUAGCAGUAGGAGGGUAGAGAGAAUAAGGGAAGGCAUAUGGGUAAGAGGUUAGGUAAGGGUAGACAAUACAGGGCGUGCACUUGAGGCAGGGGUGGGGGGUGGGGGGAGUGUUGGAAAGACCAGCGUCCACGACUCCACAUCCACAUCCACAUCCUGCCUUGAUAUGAGAGAGAGGAGGGAGAGAGAGAGAGGGGAAGGGAGGGAGGGAAGAUGCCUUGAAGAGGAGGAAGAGGAGGAAUCACUCUCACUUGAACUUUACUUGUCAUAGCAACUAGAUAAUAAUUCACGGAAGGAGGAGGAGGAGGAGGAGGAGGAAGAGGGGGCGGAUGAGAUUAGAAGGAAGGAAAACUGGAAGGCUUGGUAAAGUUUUGAAAUACUCUAGCCUAGUAAUUGAGUUCUUGGUAAUGAAUGAAUAUGGAAGUAGAAGGAGGAGGAGGUGGAUGAAUGAGAGAACAAUGAGGAAGAGGAAUUGAGAUUAGAAGGAAGGAAAACUGGAAAGAUAUAGGAAAAGUUUUGAAAUUCUACAGUGAUUGCAUGAGGUCUUGGUAGUGAAUUCAGAUAAGGAGGAGGAGGAGGAAGUAGAUGAAUGAGAUAUGGAAGAGGAAGAGGAUGAGAAGAAAUGAGAGGAGGAGGAAGGAGGGAGGGAGAAGAAAAGUUUAAAAAUAAAGUUGUGAAAUUAAAAAGGGAUUGAGGUACUGGUAGUGAAUUCAGAUAGGAAGGAGGAGGAGGAGGAAGUAGAUGAAUGAGCUAUCGAGGAGGAAGAGGAUUAGAGGAAAUGAGAUGAGGAAGGAAGGAGGGAGGGAGGAAGAAGCAAAGUUAAAAGAAAAGUUGUGAAAUUAUUAAAUGAUUGAGUUCUUGGUAGUGAAUGACGCAAGGAGGAGGAGGAGCAGAGAGAGAAGAAAAUGAUGAAUAAGAGGAUGUGGGAUGUAAAAAAAAAAAGA
This is a long non-coding RNA of Eriocheir sinensis (Chinese mitten crab), 2148 nucleotides long. RefSeq lists it as uncharacterized. NCBI's taxonomy places the organism in Eukaryota, Metazoa, Arthropoda, Malacostraca, Decapoda, Varunidae. The record is from RefSeq and is a predicted model, not a curated record. The transcript is spliced from 2 exons.